GGCCCCGUAGCUCAGUUGGAUAGAGCACCAGAUUCCUAAUCUGGGGGUCGGAGGUUCGAAUCCUCCCGGGGUCGCCA
RNAcentral lists this transfer RNA (77 nucleotides) under bacterium BMS3Bbin10. RNAcentral describes it as "tRNA-Arg". It matches the Rfam family "tRNA". From Rfam's summary of the family: Transfer RNA (tRNA) molecules are approximately 80 nucleotides in length. Their secondary structure includes four short double-helical elements and three loops (D, anti-codon, and T loops). The record is from RNAcentral. RNAcentral also lists the same sequence under 1 other name.